AGGGUUUGAUCCUGGCUCAGGAUGAACGCUGGCGGUAUGCUUAACACAUGCAAGUCGUACGAAGAUAAAAUUGUGCUUGCACGAUUUUAUACUUAGUGGCGGACGGGUGAGUAACACGUAAGAAUCUACCUUUUGGCGAGGGACAACCACUGGAAACGGUGGCUAAUACCUCAUAUAACUGAGAAGUGAAAGAUGAAAAUCACCAAGAGAUGAGCUUGCGUCUGAUUAGCUAGUUGGUAAGGUAAAGGCUUACCAAGGCGACGAUCAGUAGCUGGUCUGAGAGGAUGAUCAGCCACACUGGGACUGAGACACGGCCCAGACUCCUACGGGAGGCAGCAGUGAGGAAUUUUCCGCAAUGGGCGAAAGCCUGACGGAGCAAUACCGCGUGAAGGAUUAAGGCCUAUGGGUUGUAAACUUCUUUUCUCAGAGAAGAAUCUUGACGGUAUCUGAGGAAUAAGCAUCGGCUAACUCUGUGCCAGCAGCCGCGGUAAGACAGAGGAUGCAAGCGUUAUCCGGAUUAAUUGGGCGUAAAGCGUCUGUAGGUGGUUUAUCAAGUUUUUUGUCAAAGAUCGGGGCUUAACUCCGGGCAGGCAGAGAAAACUAGUAGACUUGAGUUCGGUAGGGGCAGAGGGAAUUCCCGGUGGAGCGGUGAAAUGCGUAGAGAUCGGGAGGAACACCAAAGGCGAAGGCACUCUGCUGGGCCGCAACUGACACUGAGAGACGAAAGCGAGGGUAGCAAAUG
RNAcentral lists this ribosomal RNA (742 nucleotides) under uncultured bacterium. RNAcentral's name for it is "bacterial SSU rRNA". It matches the Rfam family "Bacterial small subunit ribosomal RNA", at positions 8 to 774 of the family's 1533-position model. The record is from RNAcentral.